This is a long non-coding RNA of Oncorhynchus tshawytscha (Chinook salmon), 523 nucleotides long. Lineage: Eukaryota; Metazoa; Chordata; Actinopteri; Salmoniformes; Salmonidae. The record is from Ensembl.
CGCGUGUGUAUCAACAAGCAAGUAUUUGUAUGUACACAAAAAACCUCAAUGGAACAUUAAAGCAGCAGACAGUCUGCGUUAUUAUUCAGUCUACUUCAAUCGCAGUCAUUCGUAGUCUGUAUCACCUUGUUCUGGAGUUGUCUUCUGUUGCAGUUCUCUGUUUCUCGUACCACGAGGCUGUGUAUUAUUCCCUGUACAUGGUGUCUGGUGGGUGUUUGCUGUUGACUUGACAGUGAGUAUUCUCUACCUGUGUGUGUAUUUUCUCGCGCCUGGGAUGUGACACAGGUCAAGUAGCAAUUGUGGCGGGUCACUCCAGCCAGAGAGGCUGCUACUCACCUUUUUUAUUGACAAAGAGGCACCCGAUUGGCCCUUGGACAGAAGAGCUGUUACUGUGCCAAUCAAGAUAGUCCCGCGAGUGGCCGAUCUGUCAAAGUCAGCGUCCUGAUGAUGCUGGAGACGUGGCAGACAGAGCAAUGCUCUGAUGCAAAGGUUACCGGCUCAUACUCUUGUAAGAGGAUGACGG